AUUGAACGCUGGCGGCAGGCCUAACACAUGCAAGUCGAACGGUAACAGGAAGAAGCUUGCUUCUUUGCUGACGAGUGGCGGACGGGUGAGUAAUGUCUGGGAAACUGCCUGAUGGAGGGGGAUAACUACUGGAAACGGUAGCUAAUACCGCAUAAUGUCGCAAGACCAAAGAGGGGGACCUUCGGGCCUCUUGCCAUCGGAUGUGCCCAGAUGGGAUUAGCUAGUAGGUGGGGUAACGGCUCACCUAGGCAACGAUCCCUAGCUGGUCUGAGAGGAUGACCAGCCACACUGGAACUGAGACACGGUCCAGACUCCUACGGGAGGCAGCAGUGGGGAAUAUUGCACAAUGGGCGCAAGCCUGAUGCAGCGAUGCCGCGUGUAUGAAGAAGGCCUUCGGGUUGUAAAGUACUUUCAGCGGGGAGGAAGGGAGUAAAGUUAAUACCUUUGCUCAUUGACGUUACCCGCAGAAGAAGCACCGGCUAACUCCGUG
This 490-nucleotide ribosomal RNA is filed under the name uncultured bacterium. Its description in RNAcentral is "partial 16S ribosomal RNA". It matches the Rfam family "Bacterial small subunit ribosomal RNA", at positions 30 to 507 of the family's 1533-position model. The record is from RNAcentral.